CGGGGGCCCGCACAAGCGGUGGAGCAUGUGGUUUAAUUCGAAGCAACGCGAAGAACCUUACCAGGUCUUGACAUCCUUUGACCACUCUAGAGAUAGAGCUUCCCCUUCGGGGGGCAAAGUGACAGGUGGUGCAUGGUUGUCGUCAGCUCGUGUCGUGAGAUGUUGGGUUAAGUCCCGCAACGAGCGCAACCCUUAUUGUUAGUUGCCAUCAUUCAGUUGGGCACUCUAGCAAGACUGCCGGUGACAAACCGGAGGAAGGUGGGGAUGACGUCAAAUCAUCAUGCCCCUUAUGACCUGGGCUACACACGUGCUACAAUGGGAAGUACAACGAGUUGCGAAGUCGCGAGGCUAAGCUAAUCUCUUAAAGCUUCUCUCAGUUCGGAUUGCAGGCUGCAACUCGCCUGCAUGAAGCCGGAAUCGCUAGUAAUCGCGGAUCAGCACGCCGCGGUGAAUACGUUCCCGGGCCUUGUACACACCGCCCGUCACACCACGAGAGUUUGUAACACCCGAAGUCGGUGAGGUAACCUUUUGGAGCCAGCCGCCUAAGGUGGGAUAGAUGAUUGGGGUGAAGUCGUAACAAGGUAGCCGUAUCGGAAGGUGCGGCUG
RNAcentral lists this ribosomal RNA (606 nucleotides) under Enterococcus faecium. RNAcentral describes it as "bacterial SSU rRNA". It matches the Rfam family "Bacterial small subunit ribosomal RNA", at positions 914 to 1520 of the family's 1533-position model. Lineage: Bacteria; Bacillati; Bacillota; Bacilli; Lactobacillales; Enterococcaceae. The record is from RNAcentral.